RNAcentral lists this ribosomal RNA (107 nucleotides) under uncultured archaeon. RNAcentral's name for it is "partial 16S ribosomal RNA". It matches the Rfam family "Bacterial small subunit ribosomal RNA", at positions 335 to 439 of the family's 1533-position model. The record is from RNAcentral.
GGCCCUACGGGGCGCAGCAGUGGGGGAAUUUUUUACAAUGUGCGAAAACCUGAUGAAGCGACGCCGCGUGUGCGAAGAAGGCCUUCGGGUUGUUAAGCUACUCUUCU